Carassius carassius (crucian carp) is the source of this 334-nucleotide long non-coding RNA. RefSeq lists it as uncharacterized. NCBI's taxonomy places the organism in Eukaryota, Metazoa, Chordata, Actinopteri, Cypriniformes, Cyprinidae. The transcript is spliced from 3 exons. The record is from RefSeq and is a predicted model, not a curated record.
CUUGUUCCUCCUGUUUUAUUUCUGGUUCCUCGUGUUUUAUUCUCAAGGAUUCUUUUUCUUCGUGUUUUAUUCUCCAGGUUUCUGGUUCCUCGUGUUUUAUUCUCCAGGUUUCUGGUUCCUCGUAUUUUAUUCUGCAGGUUUCUGUUUCCUCGUGUUUUAUUCUCCAGGUUUCUGGUUCCUCGUGUUUUAUUUCUGGUUCCUCGUGUUUUAUUGUGCUGGAUUCUUUUUCCUCGUGUUUUAUUUUGCAGGUUUCUGGAUCUUCGUGUUUUAUUCUCAACCUUUCUGGUUCCUCGUCUUUUAUUGUGCAGGUUUCUGGUUCCUCGUGUUUUAUUGU